Molecule: ribosomal RNA, 597 nt
Filed under: Linnemannia elongata
Lineage: Eukaryota; Fungi; Mortierellomycota; Mortierellomycetes; Mortierellales; Mortierellaceae
Description: eukaryotic LSU rRNA
Rfam family: 5.8S ribosomal RNA (bases 131-284)
Source: RNAcentral
GGCACUUUUUAAUCCAUAUCCACCUUGUGUGCAAUGUCAGUCGAUCUUCUUCAUGGAGAUCGACCAAACAUCAACCUUUAUUUUUUAACUCUUUGUCUGAAAAAUAUUAUGAAUAAACAAUUCAAAAUACAACUUUCAACAACGGAUCUCUUGGCUCUCGCAUCGAUGAAGAACGCAGCGAAAUGCGAUACGUAAUGUGAAUUGCAGAAUUCAGUGAAUCAUCGAAUCUUUGAACGCAUAUUGCGCUCUUUGGUAUUCCGAAGAGCAUGCUUGUUUGAGUAUCAGUAAACACCUCAAAGCUUUUGGAUUUUUUAAUCGAAAAGCUUUGGACUUGAGCAAUCCCAACACCAAUCUUUUUGAGAUCGGUGGCGGGUUGCUUGAAAUGCAGGUGCAGCUGGACAUUCUCCUGAGCUAAAAGCAUAUUCAUUUAGUCCCGUCAAACGGAUUAUUACUUUUGCUGCAGCUAACAUAAAGGGAGUUUGACCGUAUUGGCUGACUGAUGCAGGAUUUCACAAGGGUCGGCAACGAUUCUUGUUAAACUCGAUCUCAAAUCAAGUAAGACUACCCGCUGAACUUAAGCAUAUCAAUAAGCGGAGG